Molecule: ribosomal RNA, 468 nt
Filed under: uncultured bacterium
Lineage: Bacteria
Description: partial 16S ribosomal RNA
Rfam family: Bacterial small subunit ribosomal RNA
Source: RNAcentral
GACGAACGCUGGCGGCGUGCUUAACACAUGCAAGUCGAACGGAAAGGCUCUAGCUUGCUGGAGUACUCGAGUGGCGAACGGGUGAGUAACACGUGGGUGAUCUGCCCUGCACUUCGGGAUAAGCCUGGGAAACUGGGUCUAAUACCGGAUAGGACCGCACGCUGGUUGGUGUGGUGUAGAGGUUUUUCGGGUGUGGGGUGGGCUCGCGGCCUAUCCGUUUGUUGGUGGGGUAAUGGCCUACCCAGACGUCGGCGGGUUGCCGGGCCGAGGGGGUGGACGGGCACAAUGGGGCUGGGAUACGGCCCAGGACCCUACGGGGGGGAGGAGGGGGGAAAUAUGCAAAAAGGGGGAAACGCCGAUGCAGGGAAGGCGCGUGGGGGAAGAACGGCUUCGGGUUGGAAACCCGCUUCGGUAGGGACGAAGCUUUUAGUGACGGUACCUGGAGAAGAAGCACCGGCUAACUACGUG